UUAAAUUGAAGAGUUUGAUCAUGGCUCAGAUUGAACGCUGGCGGCAGGCCUAACACAUGCAAGUCGAACGGUAACAGGAAGAAGCUUGCUUCUUUGCUGACGAGUGGCGGACGGGUGAGUAAUGUCUGGGAAACUGCCUGAUGGAGGGGGAUAACUACUGGAAACGGUAGCUAAUACCGCAUAACGUCGCAAGACCAAAGAGGGGGACCUUCGGGCCUCUUGCCAUCGGAUGUGCCCAGAUGGGAUUAGCUAGUAGGUGGGGUAACGGCUCACCU
This 275-nucleotide ribosomal RNA is filed under the name Escherichia coli. RNAcentral's name for it is "partial 16S ribosomal RNA". It matches the Rfam family "Bacterial small subunit ribosomal RNA", at positions 1 to 270 of the family's 1533-position model. Lineage: Bacteria; Pseudomonadati; Pseudomonadota; Gammaproteobacteria; Enterobacterales; Enterobacteriaceae. The record is from RNAcentral.